This is a long non-coding RNA of Puntigrus tetrazona (Sumatra barb), 373 nucleotides long. RefSeq lists it as uncharacterized. The record is from RefSeq and is a predicted model, not a curated record. The transcript has 3 exons. Lineage: Eukaryota; Metazoa; Chordata; Actinopteri; Cypriniformes; Cyprinidae.
CCUCUCCCUGGCCCAGAGCCGGCGGGUCCUGAGGGAAGACGAGCUGAGGGCACGGCAGUACAGCGCACUCUUCAGGCUCAGGGAGAAAGCGCUCCGGGAGAAGACCCAAGCUGAGCUCGACUGGUUGGAGCACUGCAGAAAUCGCGGAACUGCACAAGAUGAUAUGCUUGCUUUCACGGAGCUCAAGCAGAAGCAGGAGGAAGUAAUUCACAGAUUCCAACGAGAGCAGGCAGAGAUCCAUUCCUGGCGAAACACGUACAGAUCAGGCCAGCAGCAGAGACGGUUGCUUCUCCAUCAUCAGAGAGACAUUCUUCAUAUCAAACAGUCAGCUGUUGGCUUAAGACAAGCUCUGCUAAUACAGACUCUGCCAAAG